ACUCAAAGGAAUUGACGGGGGCCCGCACAAGCGGUGGAGCAUGUGGAUUAAUUCGAUGCAACGCGAAGAACCUUACCGGGGCUUGACAUGGAUAUGACCUUCAUAGAGAUAUGGAUUUCCUUCGGGACAUAUCACACAGAUGGUGCAUGGUUGUCGUCAGCUCGUGUCGUGAGAUGUUGGGUUAAGUCCCGCAACGAGCGCAACCCUUAUCUUCAGUUACCAGCGGUUAAAGCCGGGUACUCUGGAGAGACUGCCGUGGAUAACACGGAGGAAGGUGGGGAUGAUGUCAAAUCAUCAUGCCUCUUACGUCCCGGGCUUCACACGUGCUACAAUGGUCUUUACAAAGUGAUGCGAGACUGCGAAGUGGAGCGAACCACAAAAAAAGACCCCAGUUCGGAUUGUAGGCUGCAACUCGCCUGCAUGAAGUUGGAAUCGCUAGUAAUCGCGAAUCAGCAUGUCGCGGUGAAUACGUUCCCGGGCCUUGUACACACCGCCCGU
Molecule: ribosomal RNA, 498 nt
Filed under: uncultured bacterium
Lineage: Bacteria
Description: bacterial SSU rRNA
Rfam family: Bacterial small subunit ribosomal RNA
Source: RNAcentral